This 382-nucleotide long non-coding RNA is filed under the name Olea europaea subsp. europaea. Lineage: Eukaryota; Viridiplantae; Streptophyta; Magnoliopsida; Lamiales; Oleaceae. The record is from RNAcentral.
CUAGAAAUCCUUUUACAGAGCAUUUUCCAGUCUAAACGUUCAUGGAAAGUUCCUAAAAUCCCGAAAAUUUUAUAACAACUCAGUUCACUUAAAUCUUCACUUUUUCCUCCAAAACCCACGUCUCGAUUACUACACUAAACCUCAAAAAACCAUUCUUUAUCAAAGUUAAUUGUCCUUAUACUGCCUUGGGGGCUGUUUUUGGGGGAGUCAAAUUUAUUCAGAUGAGUGAAUGGGACUGGCCAAGUACGGGCUCCGGGCUCCUAGGAUGGGUGCUGGGGUGGGUCCAAUUUUGGACCGAAUUUUCCAACCCGAAAGGAAUCUGUAAGGGGCUAAAAAAAUUUGUGAUUGGCCUGUAGAGAGCUAAAAAGGUCAUCUUUUUCAG